This 641-nucleotide ribosomal RNA is filed under the name Methylobacterium radiotolerans. RNAcentral describes it as "bacterial SSU rRNA". It matches the Rfam family "Bacterial small subunit ribosomal RNA", at positions 1 to 693 of the family's 1533-position model. Lineage: Bacteria; Pseudomonadati; Pseudomonadota; Alphaproteobacteria; Hyphomicrobiales; Methylobacteriaceae. The record is from RNAcentral.
UAGAGUUUUGAUCCUGGCUCAGAGCGAACGCUGGCGGCAGGCUUAACACAUGCAAGUCGAGCGGGCCCUUCGGGGUCAGCGGCGGACGGGUGAGUAACGCGUGGGAACGUGCCUUCUGGUUCGGAAUAACCCUGGGAAACUAGGGCUAAUACCGGAUACGCCCUUUUGGGGAAAGGUUUACUGCCGGAAGAUCGGCCCGCGUCUGAUUAGCUAGUUGGUGGGGUAACGGCCUACCAAGGCGACGAUCAGUAGCUGGUCUGAGAGGAUGAUCAGCCACACUGGGACUGAGACACGGCCCAGACUCCUACGGGAGGCAGCAGUGGGGAAUAUUGGACAAUGGGCGCAAGCCUGAUCCAGCCAUGCCGCGUGAGUGAUGAAGGCCUUAGGGUUGUAAAGCUCUUUUAUCCGGGACGAUAAUGACGGUACCGGAGGAAUAAGCCCCGGCUAACUUCGUGCCAGCAGCCGCGGUAAUACGAAGGGGGCUAGCGUUGCUCGGAAUCACUGGGCGUAAAGGGCGCGUAGGCGGCGUUUUAAGUCGGGGGUGAAAGCCUGUGGCUCAACCACAGAAUGGCCUUCGAUACUGGGACGCUUGAGUAUGGUAGAGGUUGGUGGAACUGCGAGUGUAGAGGUGAAAUUCGUGA